Molecule: ribosomal RNA, 289 nt
Filed under: uncultured bacterium
Lineage: Bacteria
Description: partial 16S ribosomal RNA
Rfam family: Bacterial small subunit ribosomal RNA
Source: RNAcentral
UGGGGAAUCUUGCACAAUGGGGGCAACCCUGAUGCAGCGACGCCGCGUGAGCGAUGAAGCCCUUCGGGGCGUAAAGCUCUUUCGACCGGAACGAUAAUGACGGUACCGGGAGAAGAAGCUGCGGCUAACUACGUGCCAGCAGCCGCGGUAAUACGUAGGCAGCAAGCGUUGUUCGGAGUUACUGGGCGUAAAGAGUGCGUAGGCGGUUUUCUAAGUUCGGUGUGAAAUCUCCCGGCUUAACUGGGAGGGUGCGCCGAAGACUGGGAAGCUGGAGUGUGGGAAUCAAACA